Molecule: long non-coding RNA, 608 nt
Organism: Vigna angularis (adzuki bean)
Lineage: Eukaryota; Viridiplantae; Streptophyta; Magnoliopsida; Fabales; Fabaceae
Exons: 3
Source: RefSeq, a predicted model, not a curated record
UAUCUUUGACUAAAGUCAUUCUUCUCCAUCAGUAGUGCCUCUAUUAUGAUUUCUGCUUCUUCGGUGCUUCAAUCAGUGCUUCCAUCGUUGGUGCCGCUCCCAAUCUCGUCUCUCGUUUGUGAGUUUGAGUGGUUGUGGAGUUGAGGGUUGUGGUCUCUGGUUUACAUUUCGACUUGUGUCGCUUCAGUGGUGUAUGACUUUGAGGAGAAGCAUGGACAUGGAGCAUAUAAAUACAUGUUUUGAUGAUAUCAAAUUUCAUGAAGAACAUGACAAUGUAGAAGAAGAAUUAAAGAGUAGUAAUACAUUGACACGCCUACGUGUCAUUAAAGAGUAGUAAUACAUUGACACGCCUAUGUGUCAUACAACAGAGUAGUGUAGUUGGAUCCUCUUGAAAUUCUAAAUUUGUAAUCUGUUUUAAAUUUAAUUUUCUUUUAUUUUCUUGUAAAAGGUCAUUUAAGACCAAGUGUUUGGAAGAGUCCUUGAUGUAACACUACCUGCGCUAAGGGAAAGUUGAGCUUGGCUUACAAAUUGUUUGAGAUUUUCAGUGAUGCAGGUGUAAGUCCAGUGAGUUAUUGUUAUAAUUCUAUCAUGAGUUCUUUUGUCAAAAA